Molecule: ribosomal RNA, 721 nt
Filed under: uncultured Nitrososphaerota archaeon
Lineage: Archaea; Thermoproteati; Nitrososphaerota
Description: bacterial SSU rRNA
Rfam family: Archaeal small subunit ribosomal RNA
Source: RNAcentral
UUGAUCCUGCCGGACCCGACUGCUAUCAGAGUGGGACUAAGCCAUGCGAGUCAACGCAGCAAUGCGUGGCAUACGGCUCAGUAACACGUAGUCAACAUGCCCAGGGGACGUGGAUAACUUCGGGAAACUGAGGAUAAACCGCGAUAGGCCAAGGUUUCUGGAAUGGACACUGGCUGAAACCUAUAUGGCCCCUGGAUUGGACUGCGGCCGAUCAGGCUGUUGGUGAGGUAAUGGCCCACCAAACCUGUAACCGGUACGGGCUUUGAGAGAAGGAGCCCGGAGAUGGGCACUGAGACAAGGGCCCAGGCCCUAUGGGGCGCAGCAGGCGCGAAAAUUCUGCAAUAGGCGAAAGCUUGACAGAGUUACUCUGAGUGAUGCCCGCUAAGGGCAUCUUUUGGCACCUCUAAAAAUGGUGCAGAAUAAGGGGUGGGCAAGUCUGGUGUCAGCCGCCGCGGUAAUACCAGCACCCCGAGUGGUCGGGACGAUUAUUGGGCCUAAAGCAUCCGUAGCUUGUUCUGCAAGUCUUCCGUUAAAUCCACCUGCUCAACAGAUGGGCUGCGGGAGAUACUACAGGGCUAGGAGGCGGGAGAGGCAAGCGGUACUCAGUGGGUAGGGGUAAAAUCCUCUGAUCCACUGAAGACCACCAGUGGCGAAGGCGGCUUGCCAGAACGCGCUCGACGGUGAGGGAUGAAAGCUGGGGGAGCAAACCGGAUUAGAUACC